GCCUCCGUAGCAUAGUGGUA
RNAcentral lists this non-coding RNA (20 nucleotides) under Arabidopsis thaliana (thale cress). The record is from RNAcentral. Lineage: Eukaryota; Viridiplantae; Streptophyta; Magnoliopsida; Brassicales; Brassicaceae.